RNAcentral lists this ribosomal RNA (931 nucleotides) under Staphylococcus aureus. Its description in RNAcentral is "partial 23S ribosomal RNA". It matches the Rfam family "Bacterial large subunit ribosomal RNA", at positions 68 to 995 of the family's 2925-position model. The record is from RNAcentral. Lineage: Bacteria; Bacillati; Bacillota; Bacilli; Caryophanales; Staphylococcaceae.
ACGAUAUGCUUUGGGGAGCUGUAAGUAAGCUUUGAUCCAGAGAUUUCCGAAUGGGGAAACCCAGCAUGAGUUAUGUCAUGUUAUCGAUAUGUGAAUACAUAGCAUAUCAGAAGGCACACCCGGAGAACUGAAACAUCUUAGUACCCGGAGGAAGAGAAAGAAAAUUCGAUUCCCUUAGUAGCGGCGAGCGAAACGGGAAGAGCCCAAACCAACAAGCUUGCUUGUUGGGGUUGUAGGACACUCUAUACGGAGUUACAAAGGACGACAUUAGACGAAUCAUCUGGAAAGAUGAAUCAAAGAAGGUAAUAAUCCUGUAGUCGAAAAUGUUGUCUCUCUUGAGUGGAUCCUGAGUACGACGGAGCACGUGAAAUUCCGUCGGAAUCUGGGAGGACCAUCUCCUAAGGCUAAAUACUCUCUAGUGACCGAUAGUGAACCAGUACCGUGAGGGAAAGGUGAAAAGCACCCCGGAAGGGGAGUGAAAUAGAACCUGAAACCGUGUGCUUACAAGUAGUCAGAGCCCGUUAAUGGGUGAUGGCGUGCCUUUUGUAGAAUGAACCGGCGAGUUACGAUUUGAUGCAAGGUUAAGCAGUAAAUGUGGAGCCGUAGCGAAAGCGAGUCUGAAUAGGGCGUUUAGUAUUUGGUCGUAGACCCGAAACCAGGUGAUCUACCCUUGGUCAGGUUGAAGUUCAGGUAACACUGAAUGGAGGACCGAACCGACUUACGUUGAAAAGUGAGCGGAUGAACUGAGGGUAGCGGAGAAAUUCCAAUCGAACCUGGAGAUAGCUGGUUCUCUCCGAAAUAGCUUUAGGGCUAGCCUCAAGUGAUGAUUAUUGGAGGUAGAGCACUGUUUGGACGAGGGGCCCCUCUCGGGUUACCGAAUUCAGACAAACUCCGAAUGCCAAUUAAUUUAACUUGGGAGUCAGAACAUGGG